Long non-coding RNA from Bubalus bubalis (water buffalo), 446 nucleotides. RefSeq lists it as uncharacterized. The record is from RefSeq and is a predicted model, not a curated record. NCBI's taxonomy places the organism in Eukaryota, Metazoa, Chordata, Mammalia, Artiodactyla, Bovidae. The transcript has 2 exons.
UUUCACGUGCAAAAUAUCACACACUUGCCUUUGAGACUCAAGAGGAAAAGGAAUUCAUUGACUUCCCUCAGAGAAGCUGGUUUACAGGGAGCCCUCAGACGAGGAUGAAGCCUGCUGGGCUGGUGAAGAGUUGACAUGCAUUUCCUGGAAGGUAUCACCUUGCUAUUACACCUUCAAGAUCUAAAAGUCUUUAAGUGAUAAAACCCCUCCACAUCCCAACCUUCUCAGAGCUGGUCCUGCACCGCUGGAGGAUCCGCAGGCAGUGAAGUGGACCUGGACACAUGAGAACAUGCACGUUUAAAACUUCAAGGGGCCUUUUCUAGUGUUUUUUUUUUUAAUCAAUUUUUAAUCACAGUUCACAUUAUAAAGUGCAAUUACAUUAUGACACAAUAGAGACACAUGUGUAUAUACUAUAUAGAUACAAUUAAAGUAAAAUUUUAAUGAAA